Non-coding RNA from Ceratotherium simum simum (southern white rhinoceros), 89 nucleotides. Lineage: Eukaryota; Metazoa; Chordata; Mammalia; Perissodactyla; Rhinocerotidae. The record is from RefSeq and is a predicted model, not a curated record.
GCCUCCCUAGUGGUAGGAGAAUAAAUGUCUAUCAUUUAAGCCAUCUAGUCUGUAGUUGUUUUUUAUGGCAGCCCUAGGAAACUAAUACA